CGGUGGUGAUCGGUCCCCUGCUGAUCUGCGUUCCAGGUUUUAUUACCUUAAUUUCUAAAAAAAAUAUCCAUAAAAAUAGAAAAAGGCACAAUGGGAAAUUUCCAUAAAUGGGAAAGAAAUUUCGCUGCCUUUCCUUUCUUGAACAAACCAGCUGCGCCCAACUCUUUCUCUCUCUCUCCCUCUCCCCUUCUCUUUCCAAAAGUGCUGGCUUUCACUGCUCUGCAAAUUUCGUGGUCGGACCAAAACUUCAGACCUGAAACCACCCCAACGAAGGGGGUAGGAAGAAUUGGAGAAAAUGAUUAGGGAGAAGAUCAAGAUCAGGAAGAUCGACUGCUUGCCGGCAAGGCAGGUAACCUUCUCAAAGAGGAGAAAAGGGGAUUAUGAAGAAAGCUGGAGAGCUGUCGAUUCUGUGUGAAUCUGAAGCUGCUGUUAUCAUCUUUUCUCAAACUGACAAGCUCCUUGAUUUCUCAAGCUCCAGGAAGAAAGUGAUGUGAUGAAAACUUGGGAAUUCAUCAUAGAAGCCUUGAAGAUCCUUUGGGAAGGAAUAUGUAUGCCUGCGUCAAGUAGGGCAAUCAGUGGUGCAGCUAUGGCCAUGGCUGAUAUACUCCCACAUAUAGAAGGGCUUUUUACGCCACCAAAGUCUCCACACCAUCGGCAAUUCGAGCUGACCUCAUUGCCUUGGUUGACUAUGAUGAACGACUGGAAGAGGGACAUCAUCCAGGUCGACUUGACUAAGAUGUGGUCAUCAGCACAUGAUAACCAUGAACGAGAGGAGAGGAUUCUAGUGCUGCAAGCAUUCUAGCAUCAAGCGUUUUCUAUCUUGUUCCUUCAACUAGGCAUGGAGAAGGACUUCGUCUCCCAGCUGGUAGAAUUCCUAUCUUGGCUAUUGCAAGCUUCCCAUCAAGCCAUAUCAAUUCCACUCAUGAAAUUCCCAUCAUUCCUGUCAACUAUUAACUACAAAAAAUUUCGCCUACCAAUGAUGUUAUUGCAAGGUACAAAUCACAUACUUCUGGGGAAAAAUCAGAUCAACCCACGUUUGAUCAACUGCAGGAUUCAAAUGACCUGGAGAUUGCUACAAUUGUGGAUCCAUGCUCAAGCAUGUUUAAGUAGUCCAUCUUUUGCCCCUUUUUUUCCUUCCCUUCACUGUGACAUUUGGAAUCUAUAAACGAAACAUCUUUUGCCAUAAAAAUAGGCGAUGUCCAAUUUUGUGCUUUGUGCUGUUCUAAGAUUUUCUUCUUUCUUGUUUCUUUUUGGGUUUGAUGUUUUAAGCUUUUCAUGUGAGUUUGUGACAGAUUAGACUAUCUAAAUGAUGGUUUGGUAUAAAUAUAUUUCCCGUUAAAUAGUUGGAGAGAGAAAACAAGAUCACGCUGAGUAAGGAACUUGAGGAUGAGACCCGCAAGUUGAGAUGAAAGGUGACGAACGUCAAGACUUGGGUCUGGAUGAACUGCAGAAGUUAGCAAAAUAGGUGGAAGCAAGCCUUGGCUGUGUGUGA
This is an RNA transcript of Pyrus x bretschneideri (Chinese white pear), 1492 nucleotides long. It is a transcript of the gene named MADS-box transcription factor 22-like, with no coding region annotated. The transcript has 8 exons. Lineage: Eukaryota; Viridiplantae; Streptophyta; Magnoliopsida; Rosales; Rosaceae. The record is from RefSeq and is a predicted model, not a curated record.